CCAAACACAUGCAAGUCGAGCGGUAGCACAGAGAGCUUGCUCUCGGGUGACGAGCGGCGGACGGGUGAGUAAUGUCUGGGAAACUGCCUGAUGGAGGGGGAUAACUACUGGAAACGGUAGCUAAUACCGCAUAACGUCACAAGACCAAAGUGGGGGACCUUCGGGCCUCAUGCCAUCAGAUGUGCCCAGAUGGGAUUAGCUGGUAUGUGGGGUAAUGGCUCACCUAGGCGACGAUCCCUAGCUGGUCUGAGAGGAUGACCAGCCACACUGGAACUGAUACACGGUCCACACUCCUACGGGAGGCAUCAGUGGGGAAUAUUGCACAAUGGGCGCAAGCCUGAUGCAGCCAUGCCGCGUGUAUGAAGAAGGCCUUCGGGUUGUAAAGUACUUUCAGCGAGGAGGAAGGCGUUAAGGUUAAUAACCUUAGCGAUUGACGUUACUCGCAAAAGAAGCACCGGCUAACUCCGUGCCAGCAGCCGCGGUAAUACGGAGGGUGCAAGCGUUAAUCGGAAUUACUGGGCGUAAAGCGCACGCAGGCGGUCUGUCAAGUCGGAUGUGAAAUCCCCGGGCUCAACCUGGGAACUGCAUUCGAAACUGGCACGCUAGAGUCUUGUAGAGGGGGGUAGAAUUCCAGGUGUAGCGGUGAAAUGCGUAGAGAUCUGGAGGAAUACCGGUGGCGAAGGCGGCCCCCUGUAGAUCGACUGACGCUCACGUGCGAAAGCGUGGGGAUCAAACAGGAGUAGAUAUCUGGUAGUCCAUGCCCCCAAAUCAUGUCGACUUGCAGGUGUGCCCUUGAAGUGUGGCCUCCUGCAGCUAAACCGUUAACUCCACCGUCUCUGGAGGAGUACUGCCCGCAUGGAUAACACGUCAAUUGAAAUGACAGGUGCCCGCACCAGCCGGGUGGAGCAUGUGGCUUCAGUUCGAUUGCAUCACGAAUAGCCUCACCUACCUCUGACCCUCCAGAUACCUAGGAAUAUGCGUGCGUGCCUUCCGGGAACUACUGAAACCGGUCAUGCAUGCAUGCCUUACGCCUCUCGCUCGCUGGCAAUGAUGGACUAGUCACCCAACGACCGUCAAUCCUUACCUGAUGCUGCGACGCGCUCGGACCUUAGGACUUGCCAGUGAUAAACUCGCAGAAAGAUGUGGAUAGACGGUCACG
This 1159-nucleotide ribosomal RNA is filed under the name Klebsiella aerogenes. RNAcentral's name for it is "bacterial SSU rRNA". It matches the Rfam family "Bacterial small subunit ribosomal RNA", at positions 47 to 1190 of the family's 1533-position model. The record is from RNAcentral. Lineage: Bacteria; Pseudomonadati; Pseudomonadota; Gammaproteobacteria; Enterobacterales; Enterobacteriaceae.